UACGGAGGAUCCAAGCGUUAUCCGGAUUUAUUGGGUUUAAAGGGUGCGUAGGCGGGAAAGUAAGUCAGUGGUGAAAGCCUGUCGCUUAACGACAGAACUGCCAUUGAUACUGCUAUCCUAGAGUUCGUUUGAAGUGGGCGGAAUGUGCAGUGUAGCGGUGAAAUGCUUAGAUAUUGCACAGAACACCGAUUGCGAAGGCAGCUCACUAAACCGAUACUGACGCUGAGGCACGAAAGCGUGGGGAUCAAACAGG
This 253-nucleotide ribosomal RNA is filed under the name uncultured bacterium. Its description in RNAcentral is "partial 16S ribosomal RNA". It matches the Rfam family "Bacterial small subunit ribosomal RNA", at positions 524 to 776 of the family's 1533-position model. The record is from RNAcentral. RNAcentral also lists the same sequence under 1 other name.